RNAcentral lists this long non-coding RNA (1088 nucleotides) under Carica papaya (papaya). RNAcentral's name for it is "long non-coding RNA (CPAP_LNC001703)". The record is from RNAcentral. Lineage: Eukaryota; Viridiplantae; Streptophyta; Magnoliopsida; Brassicales; Caricaceae.
CCUUCCUUAAUCUUAAAUCAACCAAGAAACGUUCAUUGAUUGAUUCUUGUUGAUCAAACAGUCCUUGUGAUGCAAACAAGGCUAAAAACACUCAAGAUACUCAAAGAGCAUCAGAAUGUGACUUGGAGCAAAUUUCAAAUGAUGUAAAUACAAAUACAGUUUCAAACUUAGAAAGUUUUAGCGGACCAGUAAUAAGAUCAAAGGCAAAGAAGCUUAAAGAGUUGCUCCAAGUUUUUACUCAAAAACAUGUGGAUGAUGGACUGGCCAAUUGUGGAAAGUUCAAAUAUGAGCUUUUUGAACAGCCCAAAUUCGUAACUUUAAUUGGAUUUAAGUGAUUUGGGAUAAUUUGGGCAUGUUUGAGUCUUAUUGAUAAUUGAUGAAUAAGCCUUGUGUCCAUUGGAUUAGUUGAGUUAUUUUAAGUAUUUUGGAUUGUUUUAUUUUAGUUUGAGUUAAUUAAGCCCAUAUGAGUAUAACUCAUUUUGGGUUUAAGUUUUGUCUUAGUGUCAUUACAAGAAUGAGCUCAUAACUAUAUGGUGCCACAAACAAUUAGUGGUGUUGGUUAAGAAGAUUGGAGUUAUAAGGAGUUACAUAACAAUUACAUGCCUAUAAUUAGCUUAGUUAUUGUUGGAGUUACAAUUGUAAUUACCACAUAAUUAACCUAGUUAUUGUGGGAGUUACAAUUGUAGUUAUUGUAUUGUAACUUAUCAUUGAUUUCUUUGGUUAUAAAUACCAAAGGAACUCUUCUUUGUGGACAUCAAGAGUUGUAAUCAAGCAUUUCAUAAUUGAGUUAAGAGUGUUUUGGCUUUCUUUUUUACUUUAUGCACAAGGUGUUGAUUUGGAAUACAAUUGUUAUCACGUGUAUUUCAAUUUUGAUUUUCUAUUUUAAUUGUUCUUGGUGCUUGUUUGGAUUGGGUUCAAGGGAUAUCAUUUAUCUUUCUUGGGUUCUCUUUAACUUCUACCAUUUGAGUGAUUGAACAAAUUUGAUUCCUUUUUUACUUGUGAUCUAAAUUCCGUUCUAAACCGAUUGAAGAGUUCUAAGGUUCAAGCAAGGGUCUUGGGGUUCCGCAUCAUUUGGUAUCAGAGCAUUG